AGUGAACGCUGGCGGCGUGCUUAACACAUGCAAGUCGAACGAGAACGGAUUAUAGCUUGCUAUAAUUGUCAGCUAAGUGGCGCACGGGUGAGUAAUGUAUAGAUAACCUGCCCUCUAGAAAGGAAUAACAGUUGGAAACGACUGCUAAUGCCCUAUAUGCCUUUAAUACAUAAGUAUGCAAGUGAAACGCUUGAGUGCUAGAGGAUGGGUCUGAAUGGUAUCAGUUAGUUGGUGAGGUAAUAGCUCACCAAGACUAUGACGCCUAACUGGUUUGUGAGGCUGAUCAGGCACUCUGGAACUGAGACGCUGUCCAGACUCCUACGCGAGGCAGCAGUGGGGAAUACUGCACAAUGGACUAUGGUCUGAUGCACCAACGCCUCAUGGAGGAUGACACAUUUCGGUGAGAAAACUCCUUUUAUAUAGGACGAUAAUGACGGUACUAUAUGAAUAAGCACCGGCUCACUCCGUUGCAGCCGCCGCAGUAA
Molecule: ribosomal RNA, 485 nt
Filed under: uncultured bacterium
Lineage: Bacteria
Description: partial 16S ribosomal RNA
Rfam family: Bacterial small subunit ribosomal RNA
Source: RNAcentral